GAGGGUAUGGCUCAAGUGGUAGAGCGCAUGCUUAGCAUGCAUGAGGUCCUGGGUUCAAUCCCCAGUACCUCCU
Molecule: transfer RNA, 73 nt
Filed under: Vicugna pacos (alpaca)
Lineage: Eukaryota; Metazoa; Chordata; Mammalia; Artiodactyla; Camelidae
Description: tRNA-Ala (AGC) (tRNA-Ala-AGC-802-1)
Rfam family: tRNA
About the family: Transfer RNA (tRNA) molecules are approximately 80 nucleotides in length.
Source: Rfam by way of RNAcentral